AUGAUCGCCAGACUCUUUUGUGCUUCCGUUCGUUCACGAUCGCCCAAGAUGCACCGCGGACGUACCUUCGUUUGUUUAUUGGAGUGGCGCACUGGCCCAGAGCCAAACAACAAUUCCAACCAGGGCGCCACCAGCACUGUUUAUCCGGUCCUGGGAAAAUGUCGGAGGAAAAGAGGUAAACGAGCAGGAAUCCAGGUGAGAAUAAGACUUCUCUUAAAGCGUGGUUUAUCUGGUAAACAUCGGCGCGAUCUUCUAGCUUCUUGUCCUUUGUUUGGUGACCUGAGCGCCACUUCCUCAUUCCCGCCAGGCCGCGUUGUGACGCGGUUUCUCCAUCCAAGUUUUUUAAGGUCGGUUUAUCCUCAUUCCUCAGUGGUUUCUCCUCCUGUUCCCUCCAUAAGUGGUUUUUAUAAACACCGUGGAUCUAACCCUGCUAAUUUACCUCCACUAACUCCAGCUGUUUCGGUAGUUUCUGAUUCCUCCACCUCACUCAGCAUGGCUCUAUUAAAUACCCGCUUUGUUAACAAUAAGACCUUCCUGCUCAAUGAUCUAAUUCUCUCUAAAAACCUGGAUUUUCUGUUUCUGACUGAAGUUUGGCAGCAAACAUCUGAUUAUUCUGGUCUGAUUGAACUCUGCCCGAGUGGUUAUUCUUUUCUUAGCCAGCCCCGGGGUUCUGGUCGUGGUGGAGGCCUAGCUGUUGAUUUCAGAGACCAUCUUCCAUGUAGCUCUACAACCUCUGGUCACUUUGCUUCCUUUGAACUGCAGCUGAUUAAAGUCGGGCGUAAGGACCCGUUCUACUGUGCUGUGGUUUAUCGUCUACCUGGUCCAAACAGUUCUUUCCUUCAGGAGCUUAGUGACUUUCUAUCCUCCACUGUGAAGCUCUCCAGACUGGUGAUUGUUGGUGAUUUUAACAUCCACGUUGAUGAUCCCUCUGAUCACUUUGCCAUGAAUUUCUCCAGCCUUAUGGACUCCUUCGGCGUUACCCAGCAUGUUUCUGGCCCCACACACACCAGGGGGCACACUCUGGACCUUGUUUUUACCCUGAGUCUAAAUGCUGACAGUGUUUGUCCUGAGGACGUUUAUAUUUCAGAUCACCAUUGCGAUUUCUUUAACUUGUCAGUUUCUGCGUCUCCACCUCCUGCUCGCCGUAUGGUUAGUUCUCGUUUUCUUAAUGAGAGCACAGCUAGCAAUUUUUCUGCUGCUUUUGAUCCACCCUGUUCUUCUGAUAAUGACCCAGAUUCCUUAACUUCUCAGUUUAACGAGCACUGCCUCUCCAUUCUGGACAACAUCUGUCCUGUCAGAACCAGAUCAGUUCCUGCAGUGAACCCUACUCGCUGGUUUAAUGACAGCCUUCGCAGCCUAAAGCGCCAAUGCAGAAAAAAUGAGUGCUUGUGGAAGAAAACCCAUCGACUCUGCGACGAUAGGGCAGGGUGCAAUUCCCAGGAAGAGUAA
RNAcentral lists this long non-coding RNA (1449 nucleotides) under Nothobranchius furzeri (turquoise killifish). Its description in RNAcentral is "lncRNA (ENSNFUG00015007683.1)". Lineage: Eukaryota; Metazoa; Chordata; Actinopteri; Cyprinodontiformes; Nothobranchiidae. The record is from RNAcentral.